RNAcentral lists this ribosomal RNA (739 nucleotides) under Clitopilus sp. BAB-5056. RNAcentral's name for it is "eukaryotic LSU rRNA". The stretch from base 279 to 432 matches the Rfam family "5.8S ribosomal RNA". Lineage: Eukaryota; Fungi; Basidiomycota; Agaricomycetes; Agaricales; Entolomataceae. The record is from RNAcentral.
UAGUCGUAAACAAGGUUUCCGUAGGUGAACCUGCGGAAGGAUCAUUAUUGAAUAAACUUGGUCAAGCUGCUGCUGGUCCUUCGGGACAUGUGCACGCUUGCCACCAACUUUAACCACCUGUGCACCUUUUGUAGACUGGGAACAACUCUCGAGGUAACUCGGUGUGAGGAUUGCUGUGCGAAAGCCGGCUGUCUUUGUGUUUUUCAGUCUAUGUUUUAUAUACCCCAUAGCAUGUAUAAGAAUGUAUUGACAGGCCUCAGUGCCUAUAAACCUAAUACAACUUUCAACAACGGAUCUCUUGGCUCUCGCAUCGAUGAAGAACGCAGCGAAAUGCGAUAAGUAAUGUGAAUUGCAGAAUUCAGUGAAUCAUCGAAUCUUUGAACGCACCUUGCGCUCCUUGGUAUUCCGAGGAGCAUGCCUGUUUGAGUGUCAUUAAAUUCUCAACCAUACGAGUUUGUAUGAACUUUGUAUGGCUUGGAUCAUGGGAUUUGCGGGCUUGAAUUAGUCGGCUCUCCUGAAAGGCAUUAGCAGAACUUUUGUUGCUAAUCUCUGGUGUGAUAACUAUCUACGCCAUUGUGAGGUGACAUGCUAAGGAACUGCUUACAAUCGUCUUUGCAGACAACCUUGACAAUCUGACCUCAAAUCAGGUAGGACUACCCGCUGAACUUAAGCAUAUCAAUAAGCGGAGGAAAAGAAACUAACAAGGAUCCCCCUAGUAACUGCGAGUGAAGGGGGAAAA